RNAcentral lists this ribosomal RNA (285 nucleotides) under uncultured bacterium. RNAcentral's name for it is "partial 16S ribosomal RNA". It matches the Rfam family "Bacterial small subunit ribosomal RNA", at positions 335 to 612 of the family's 1533-position model. The record is from RNAcentral.
ACUCCUACGGGAGGCAGCAGUGGGGAAUAUUGCACAAUGGGGGAAACCCUGAUGCAGCCAUGCCGCGUGUGUGAAGAAGGCCUUCGGGUUGUAAAGCACUUUCAGCGAGGAGGAAAAGGGUGUAAGUUAAUACCUUACAUCUGUGACGUUACUCGCAGAAGAAGCACCGGCUAACUCCGUGCCAGUAGCCGCGGUAAUACGGAGGGUGCGAGCGUUAAUCGGAAUUACUGGGCGUAAAGCGUGCGCAGGCGGUUUGUUAAGCGAGAUGUGAAAGCCCCGGCUCAA